CAAUAAAUUUUGGGGGUUCCCCAUACUUAGAACUGAAACUCAAAAAUUUUUUUUUUCACCAAACCCAUACGUGUGGGGUGUCUAUGGAUAGGUCUUCAAAAAUGAUAUUGAGGUUUCUAAUAUCAUUUUCUUCUAAACUGAAUAGUUUGCGCGAGAGACACUUCCAAAGU
Long non-coding RNA from Cydia fagiglandana, 170 nucleotides. RefSeq lists it as uncharacterized. The transcript has 2 exons. Lineage: Eukaryota; Metazoa; Arthropoda; Insecta; Lepidoptera; Tortricidae. The record is from RefSeq and is a predicted model, not a curated record.